Molecule: non-coding RNA, 69 nt
Organism: Rattus norvegicus (Norway rat)
Lineage: Eukaryota; Metazoa; Chordata; Mammalia; Rodentia; Muridae
Source: Rfam
GGGGAUUUAGCUCAGCGGUAGAGCACUUGCCUAGCAAGCGCAAGGCCCUGGGUUCGGUCCCCAGCUCCA